Molecule: transfer RNA, 68 nt
Filed under: Scolytoplatypus wugongshanensis
Lineage: Eukaryota; Metazoa; Arthropoda; Insecta; Coleoptera; Curculionidae
Description: tRNA-Gln
Source: RNAcentral
UAUGUUUUAGUAUUUUAUGUACAAAAAUUUUUGAUAUUUUAGGUAAUAGUUUAAUCUAUUAAACGUAA